UUAUAUAAUGGCGCCACAAAGAAAAUUUUUUUGAUGUGUUCUAAAAGUGUUCCGCUAAUUCAGCAAUCUAAUGAAUCUGUCUUAAUUUUUCUGAAAUCGUGCUUAAUUAUUAUUAGCUAAUCGGCGCUACACCGUUGUUCAAAUACUUAUAAUUGCAAGAAACCCCCGACUAGGACCAGCAGUCAUUGAUGUUAGCAUGUACUACACAAAGAAAAACAGGCAAAGCAUGAAGCCAAAGGAAAUGUUUUAACCAAGGCAUGUUCCUCAAUAGCGGAGAGAGUUUUAUCCAGUGUCGGUUCUGCAGAAGAACCCAUUCAUAGCAGACCACCCAUUGCAGCACUUGUAAGGUCGCUAUAAAGAACCCGACAGACUCUGCGACCAAAAGAUCCCACUGACGUGUCGUCAAGCCUUGACGAAGAUUUCAUCGAUCAUAGUGCACCGGGAUUUUAUCAAAAAAGAGUAAAAGUUGGGGAAAGGCGCCAUCACAUUUUUUGUACUGAUAGACAGAUGCAACUACUCGCACGCGCAAAAAUUUGGUAUAUGGAUGCAACUUUUCGGGUGGUGAACAAGCCAUGGUCUCAGCUGUUUUCCAUACACGCCUUCAUUAAGACUGGAGAGACCACCCGACAGUUACCAUUGGUGUUUUGUGUAAUGUCGGGUAAAAGCCAAGACGACUAUUAUAAGUUUCCAUAUUAGAUGCCAUAGCAAAUCAAAGAUCAUAUAAUAAAAUAAGUCAAAAAACCCAAAUAUGGAAAAAGAAAGAGCUGAAGAAAUGGUGAUUUGAGCACCUAUGCUUUCUCAUAGGUGUUUUUGGAGGUUUCCAUAUUAGAUGCCAUAGCAAAUCAAAGAAAAGAAAGAGCUGAAGAAAUGGUGAUUUGAGCACCUAUGAUUUCUCAUAGGUGUUUUUGGAGGUUAACUACAUCAGAAAGAUCAAGACAGUUGGAA
Patella vulgata (common limpet) is the source of this 945-nucleotide long non-coding RNA. RefSeq lists it as uncharacterized. The record is from RefSeq and is a predicted model, not a curated record. The transcript is spliced from 7 exons. NCBI's taxonomy places the organism in Eukaryota, Metazoa, Mollusca, Gastropoda, Patellidae.